Molecule: ribosomal RNA, 480 nt
Filed under: Serratia marcescens
Lineage: Bacteria; Pseudomonadati; Pseudomonadota; Gammaproteobacteria; Enterobacterales; Yersiniaceae
Description: partial 23S ribosomal RNA
Rfam family: Bacterial large subunit ribosomal RNA
Source: RNAcentral
GGGUUGUGAGGUUAAGUGACUAAGCGUACACGGUGGAUGCCUAGGCAGUCAGAGGCGAUGAAGGGCGUGCUAAUCUGCGAAAAGCGUCGGUAAGGUGAUAUGAACCGUUACAACCGGCGAUACCCGAAUGGGGAAACCCAGUGUGUUUCGACACACUAUCAUGUCAUGAAUACAUAGUGGCAUGAGGCGAACCGGGGGAACUGAAACAUCUAAGUACCCCGAGGAAAAGAAAUCAACCGAGAUUCCCCCAGUAGCGGCGAGCGAACGGGGAGGAGCCCAGAACCUGAAUCGGCUUGUGUGUUAGUGGAAGCGUCUGGAAAGUCGCGCAGCAAAGGGUGAUAGCCCCGUACACUAAAAUGCACAGGUCGUGAGUUCGAUGAGUAGGGCGGGACACGUGACAUCCUGUCUGAAUAUGGGGGGACCAUCCUCCAAGGCUAAAUACUCCUGACUGACCGAUAGUGAACCAGUACCGUGAGGGAA